This 99-nucleotide ribosomal RNA is filed under the name uncultured bacterium. RNAcentral describes it as "partial 16S ribosomal RNA". It matches the Rfam family "Bacterial small subunit ribosomal RNA", at positions 1386 to 1484 of the family's 1533-position model. The record is from RNAcentral.
CACACCGCCCGUCACACCAUGGGAGUUGAUUGCACCAGAAGCAGGUAGCCCGACCGCAAGGGGGGCGCCUACCACGGUGUGGUCAAUGACUGGGGUGUA